This 360-nucleotide ribosomal RNA is filed under the name Vibrio cholerae. Its description in RNAcentral is "bacterial SSU rRNA". It matches the Rfam family "Bacterial small subunit ribosomal RNA", at positions 350 to 702 of the family's 1533-position model. The record is from RNAcentral. Lineage: Bacteria; Pseudomonadati; Pseudomonadota; Gammaproteobacteria; Vibrionales; Vibrionaceae.
AGCAGUGGGGAAUAUUGCACAAUGGACGAAAGUCUGACGGAGCAACGCCGCGUGAGUGAUGAAGGUUUUCGGAUCGUAAAACUCUGUUGUUAGGGAAGAACAAGUACAAGAGUAACUGCUUGUACCUUGACGGUACCUAACCAGAAAGCCACGGCUAACUACGUGCCAGCAGCCGCGGUAAUACGUAGGUGGCAAGCGUUGUCCGGAUUUAUUGGGCGUAAAGCGAGUGCAGGCGGCUCGAUAAGUCUGAUGUGAAAGCCUUCGGCUCAACCGGAGAAUUGCAUCAGAAACUGUCGAGCUUGAGUACAGAAGAGGAGAGUGGAACUCCAUGUGUAGCGGUGAAAUGCGUAGAUAUAUGGA